AUUGAACGCUGGCGGCAGGCCUAACACAUGCAAGUCGAGCGAGAGGCGGACGGGUGAGUAAUGUAUGGGGAUCUGCCCGAUAGAGGGGGAUAAAUACUGGGAAAGGUGGCUAAUACAGCAUACUGUCGGAUGAACACGUAGUGGAUUAGGUAGUAGGUGGGGUAAAGGCUCACAUAGGCGACGAUCUCUAGGUUGUCUGAGAGGAUGAUCAGCCACACUGGGACUGAGACCCGGCCCAGACUCCUACGGUAGGCAGCAGUGGGGAAUAUUGCACAUUGGGCGCAAGCCUGAUGCAGCCAUGCCGCGUGUAUGAAGAAGGCCUUAGGUUUGUAAAGUACUUUCAGCGGGGAGGCGUUACCCGCAGAAGAAGCACCGGCUAACUCCGUGCCAGCAGCCGCGGUAAUAC
Molecule: ribosomal RNA, 406 nt
Filed under: uncultured bacterium
Lineage: Bacteria
Description: partial 16S ribosomal RNA
Rfam family: Bacterial small subunit ribosomal RNA
Source: RNAcentral